Panicum virgatum (switchgrass) is the source of this 1539-nucleotide long non-coding RNA. RefSeq lists it as uncharacterized. The record is from RefSeq and is a predicted model, not a curated record. The transcript is spliced from 3 exons. Lineage: Eukaryota; Viridiplantae; Streptophyta; Magnoliopsida; Poales; Poaceae.
CAUUCUGUUGUAUAUACGUGUGACUUGAUCCUGGCACGUAUAUGAUUGCUCGGUUUAUGUCUUUUUAUAAACCGGGUGUUACACGGUAGCAGUUGUUUAGCCAAUGCACCAGCAGCAGCGUCUGUCACCAGCUUGGGCAGCAUAGGUUUUGAUGGUUGCUGGCAGGAGAUUCAGUCUUUUUUCCUGCAGGAAGAUAGUUCUGUCUGAGAAAUAUGAUUUCAGAAAGCUCCAGGAUGAGCUGCAAUUGUGUGCACUGAUCCUUUCCUACUCACCAAAGGAUGAAAGCACAUGGAGCCAUAGAUACACCUUGUGCACUUCUUCAAAGAAUUAAACCAGCGUGCCUGUGAAACUCUUUCAGAUAAAAGAGUUGUAUCCUCUACCUAUCUAUUUGGAGCUGGCUUCACUUGGCACCAAAUUUUCAUGUUGAUUUGUAAUAACAAUAAAAUCAUGUAGAGUUUAAAGUUAUUGUUUGCUGCAGGAGCUGGGUGUUAAAACAAGUUGCAGAGCAACAUCAAGAUAUGUCAGAGCUUGUAGAGAAGGAAUCGGUAUUGCAUUAUGUUUGAUUGAGUAGCAGCGGCGGCAGGAGUUGUUUUGUCGCGGCAACAACAACAAUGGCUAUCAUCAUCAGCUUGGGUAGGUAAGCAGAUUAGCACUCAGCAAGGUUUCAGAUGUCAGGUUUAUGGAUUUUAUUUUUCAUGCUAUAUUGAUGCUACUGCUAGUUCCAUUAUUCAAUCACUGGUUGCUUGCUUUGUUCGGUCGAUUGAGUAGUUCAUUAGUUUAUUUACUAAAAUGAAUUUUAGCUCAUGUGCUUUUGUUCAUCUCAUUUGACCUGCAUAGUAGUUUUUCUAGCAUCAUUCGCAGAUGAAGGCAACUGCAGCUUAACUUUUAUCAAGAGAAAUUAAACAACGAUGAGAUGAGAAGACUACUUUUUAUGUCGAUGUUUUCUAUGAAGUAAAAUGCUAGUUUUGCAGGCAUUUCAUCUCGAUUUUGCCCUAUUUUGAUGAAGAAACAAUGUUGUUUUGAAGUAAACCAUUUUUGAUUGGAUUUUGUCUACAAUUUACUGAAGUUUCACCUCUCCGCUCGAGGGUGACAGGAAUAACAACAUCUCAAUUCCUCUUGUUUGAUUGAGUAGCAGCAGCGGUAGGAGUUGUUUUGUCGUGGCAACAACAACAAUGGCUAUCAUCGGCUUGGGUAGGUAAGCAGAUCAGCACUCAGCAAGGUUUCCGAUGUCAGGUUUAUGGAUUUUAUUUUUCAUGCUAUAGUGAUGCUACUGCUAGUUCCAUUAUUUAAUCAUUGGUUGCUUGCUUUGGUUGGUCAGUUAAGUAGCUCAUUAGUUUAUUCACUUAAAUGAUUUUGUCUAUGAAGUAAAAUGCUACUUCUAUGUGUGUGGAUAAGAGGAGCAAUUAAAGAAUGAGAUGAGAAGAACUACUUUACGCGGAUGUUCUGUCCUUGAAGCAAAAUGCAACUUUUGUAGGGAUUUCAUCUCGAUUUGCCCUGUUUUGGUGAAGAAACAAAUGUUGUUUUGAAUCAUGGUCAUUA